RNAcentral lists this ribosomal RNA (107 nucleotides) under uncultured bacterium. RNAcentral's name for it is "partial 16S ribosomal RNA". It matches the Rfam family "Bacterial small subunit ribosomal RNA", at positions 1394 to 1500 of the family's 1533-position model. The record is from RNAcentral.
CCGUCACACCAUGGGAGUCGGAUAUGCCCGAAGCCAGUGACCCAACCGUAAGGAGGGAGCUGUCGAAGGUGGAGCCGAUAACUGGGGUGAAGUCGUAACAAGGUAGC